Molecule: long non-coding RNA, 810 nt
Filed under: Chinchilla lanigera (long-tailed chinchilla)
Lineage: Eukaryota; Metazoa; Chordata; Mammalia; Rodentia; Chinchillidae
Description: lncRNA (ENSCLAG00000022667.1)
Source: RNAcentral
GGCGUGGUGGCUCACGCCUGUAAUCCCAGCACUUGGGAAGCUGAGGCAGGAGGAUCGUUGUGAGUUCAAGGCCAGCCUGGGCUACAAAGUGAGCUCAAGGCCAGCCUGAACUGCAUAGUGAGACCCUGCCUCAAAAAAAAAAAAAAAAAUAAUGAUAAUAAUAAUAAUUCUCACAUGCAGGCUUGAAACUCCAUGAUCGUGAAGUUCACCCUUGAAGAGGAGAUCUUCAAAAAUUUAAUCUGUUCUCUGGCUUUCGAUUUCUCUGUAUCUACAUGACCUGCUUGUCUGAUAUUGGUCUACUGAACUGACUUCAUUUCCUUACUGAUAGAGAAACCAGUCCCUCUCCAUCCUUCCUGCAUCACAAGACUGGUAUAACAGGCCUGUAUGAAGACAUGAAAAGGAAUGUUUUCAGAAAGAAAGUCCAUUUUCAUACUUGAAGACACUGACUUCUUUUCUUUGAUGGAAACAUAGAGAAGAAAUGUCACUUUUAUCACUCUGAGAACACACAAGUUCAGAAUAUGUUUAUGCCACUUCCAUGCAGAGAAUGUGCUCCAUCACUGAACUGCAGCCUCAGGUCUACCUCAGAUUUUGAUCACACGACCAAGGUACACUUCUAAUGGCUAACAGCAUGUGGAGAAAUGGGGUUUGGUGUCAGAGGGUAAUAUUUUAAAAAUUUACCAUAAAGUUCAAACAAGGAAGACAAUAUUUGAAGGUGAGAUUCCUAAUCACCUAGCCAAUAAUGAUGCCAAUUUAUGUAAAUCAUAGCAAACUCAUUGUGAAAAUGACCAGGAAUAAUAAUAAAGUUCCGGG